RNAcentral lists this long non-coding RNA (210 nucleotides) under Phoenix dactylifera (date palm). RNAcentral's name for it is "long non-coding RNA (PDAC_LNC004784)". The record is from RNAcentral. Lineage: Eukaryota; Viridiplantae; Streptophyta; Magnoliopsida; Arecales; Arecaceae.
AUCUAGCACCCAAUAGUACUGUUAAGAUGUUAGAAAGAAUAAUUUUGCCUCCACCUAACCUCUCCGAUUCCAACAUUUUCUCUUUCUCUCUAAAGCCAAUCAUCAUCCUCAUUCCUCCUCUUGAUCUAACUUGGUCCCAAGCCCGACCAACUCUCCUUCUCAUCCCUCCUCUCCAUCAACCUCUGUCUAAUCAUCUCCUUCCCCUCCCUC